AUUCAAAAUUUUGGAGCGACGAAGUUCUGUAAGAUAAUUUUACACAGUCCACUCUUCUUCAGUUCUUCUUCUCAGUUCUGGGCUCUCCCUUCCCCAUUUUCGCUGCCAUAUUUCUUUGCCGAUCUUCUGUGGGCUGAGAUUUGGAGGUUGAGUUUGGUUCGAUAUGAACCUGAGCAGUGCUGGGUUUGAAAAUCCUAUUGGCUGUUACGAUGCUGCGGUUCAAGAGCUUCUUGUUAUUGAUGAUAUCCUGUCAGCCAUGGUUGGGAUUGAAGGACGUUACAUCUUGAUUAAAACAGUUCAUGGAAAGCAGGAUGAUG
Molecule: long non-coding RNA, 317 nt
Organism: Neltuma alba
Lineage: Eukaryota; Viridiplantae; Streptophyta; Magnoliopsida; Fabales; Fabaceae
Exons: 3
Source: RefSeq, a predicted model, not a curated record